This is a non-coding RNA of Vicia faba (fava bean), 243 nucleotides long. NCBI's taxonomy places the organism in Eukaryota, Viridiplantae, Streptophyta, Magnoliopsida, Fabales, Fabaceae. The record is from the annotation of a GenBank genome assembly.
AUGCAGCCUUCAGUUUUCGUGAGUGUGAUCUUAGCAUUUUUUCUAGGUUCAGCUGGUCAAAAUGAACUUGUAGCAGCUAACCCUUUCCAUCCAAGUCCCCCCUUACUUCGCAAUGGAUUUUCUGGCAGAACAACCGAUCAUUUGGCAGCAGAAGCCACUGUAAUUGAAGUAUGGAAAGGCUUCUUCUGUCGUCGUUUUCUCUUUCUCGCCGUCCAAGCUACUCUCUUUCGUCUCAGGUUUUAG